CUAAACAUCCGUAGCUUGCUUAAUAAGUUUCCUGUGAAAUUCUGUCUCUUAAGGGCAGAGCGCGCAGGAAGUACUGUUGAGCUAGAGACUGGAAGACGUGAAAAGUACGUUCGAAGUAGCGGUAAAAUGCGUUAAUCUUGAGCGGACUCACAAUAGCGAAGGCAUUUCACGAGGACAGUUCUGACAGUAAGGGAUGAAGGCUAGGGGCGCGAAAGGGAUUAGAUACCCCUGUAGUCCUAGCAGUAAACACUGCACACUAAACAUCAGUACCUCUUCGGGAGGCAUUGGUGCUGUAGCGAAGGCGAAGAGUGUGCUACCUGGGAAGUAUAGUCGCAAGGCCGAAACUUAAAGGAAUUGGCGGGGGAGCACAA
Molecule: ribosomal RNA, 371 nt
Filed under: uncultured euryarchaeote
Lineage: Archaea; Methanobacteriati; Methanobacteriota
Description: bacterial SSU rRNA
Rfam family: Archaeal small subunit ribosomal RNA
Source: RNAcentral